GGAAGUGUCGGGAUUACUGGGCGUAAGGGUGCGCAGGCGGCCGCGUGCGUGUGGGAUGAAAUCUCCUGGCUCAACUGGGAGGGGGUCUCGCAAACGGCGCGGCUUGAGGCUCGGCGGGGGGCGUGGAAUUCCGGGUGGAGCGGUGAAAUGCGUAGAGAUCCGGAGGAACACCGACGGCGUAAGCAGCGCCCUGGACGAGUCCUGACGCUCAGGCACGAAAGCUGGGGGAGCAAACAGGAUUAGAUACCCUGGUAGUCCCAGCCCUAAACGAUGUCCACCAGGCGCCGCGGGUAUCGACCCCUGCGGCGCCGCAGCUCACGUGAUGAGUGGACCGCCUGGGGAGUACGGCCGCAAGGUUGAAACUCAAAGGAAUUGACGGGGGCCCGCACAAGCAGCGGAGUGUGUGGUUUAAUUUGAUGCAACGCGCAGAACCUUACCUGGGCUUGACAUGGGCAGGAACCACGGGUAACGCCGUGUCCCUUCGGGGUCUGUCCACAGGUGCUGCAUGGCUGUCGUCAGCUCGUGCCGUGAGGUGUUGGGUUAAGUCCCCUAACGAGCGCAACCCCUGGGGUCCGUUACAGCGCUCUCGGGCCCGACUGCCGCGCGCAACGCGGAGGAAGGUGGGGAUGACGUCAAGUCAGCACGGCCCUGACGUCCAGGGCGACACACACACUACAAUGGCCGCGACAACGGGACGCCAACCCGCGAGGGGGAGCCAAUCCUAACAAACUCGGUCUCAGUUCGGAUGGCAGGCUGCAGCUCGCCUGCCUGAAGCUGGAGUUGCUAGUAACCGUGGGUCAGCAUACCACGGUGAAUACGUUCCCGGGCCUUGUACACACCGCCCGUCACACCACGAAAGCCGGCAACACCUGAAGCCGCUGGGCUAACCCUCCGGGGAGGCAGGCGUCGAGGGUGGGGUCGGUGAUUGGGGUGAAGUCGUAACAAGGUAACCAGACCUU
This 959-nucleotide ribosomal RNA is filed under the name uncultured bacterium. Its description in RNAcentral is "bacterial SSU rRNA". It matches the Rfam family "Bacterial small subunit ribosomal RNA", at positions 538 to 1508 of the family's 1533-position model. The record is from RNAcentral.